GAAUAUUGCACAAUGGGCGAAAGCCUGAUGCAGCAACGCCGCGUGAGCGAUGAAGGUCUUCGGAUCGUAAAGCUCUGUCCUCAAGGAAGAAUUUUGACGGUACUUGAGGAGGAAGCCCCGGCUAACUACGUGCCAGCAGCCGCGGUAAUACGUAGGGGGCUAGCGUUAUCCGGAAUUAUUGGGCGUAAAGGGUGCGUAGGCGGUCCUACAAGUCAGAGGUGAAAGGCUACGGCUCAACCGUAGUAAGCCUUUGAAACUGUAGGACUUGAGUGCAGGAGAGGAGAGUGGAAUUCCCAGUGUAGCGGUGAAAUGCGUAGAUAUUGGGAGGAACACCAGUUGCGAAGGCGGCUCUCUGGACUGUAACUGACGCUGAGGCACGAAAGCGUGGGGAGCGAACAGG
Molecule: ribosomal RNA, 400 nt
Filed under: uncultured bacterium
Lineage: Bacteria
Description: bacterial SSU rRNA
Rfam family: Bacterial small subunit ribosomal RNA
Source: RNAcentral